Molecule: ribosomal RNA, 243 nt
Filed under: uncultured bacterium
Lineage: Bacteria
Description: partial 16S ribosomal RNA
Rfam family: Bacterial small subunit ribosomal RNA
Source: RNAcentral
ACGAGCGUUAUCCGGAAUUAUUGGGCGUAAAGCGCACGCAGGCGGCUUAUCAAGUCUGACGUGAAAUCUCCCAGCUUAACUGGGAGCGGUCGUUGGAAACUGAUGGGCUUGAGGCAAGGAGAGGGGUGUGGAAUUCCCGGUGUAGUGGUGGAAUGCGUAGAGAUCGGGAGGAACAUCAGUGGCGCAAGCGGCACCCUGGCCUUGGCCUGACGCUCAGGUGCGAAAGCGUGGGGAGCGAACGGG